CGAGCGAGAAAGUCUCUUCGGAGGCGAGUAGAGCGGCGAACGGGUGAGUAACACGUAAGUAACCUGCCCCUAAAUUCGGGACAACCUUUCUAACGGAAGGCUAAUACCGGAUGUGGUCCUAAUGCUGCAUGGUAUAAGGAUUAAAGAUGACCUCUUCUUGAAAGUUAUUGUUUAGGGAUGGACUUGCGGGUCAUUAGCUUGUUGGUAAGGUAACGGCUUACCAAGGCUUUGAUGACUAGCCGACCUGAGAGGGUGAUCGGCCACAUUGGGACUGAGAUACGGCCCAGACUCCUACGGGAGGCAGCAGUAGGGAAUAUUGCGCAAUGGACGAAAGUCUGACGCAGCAACUCCGCGUGAGGGAUGACGGUUUUCGGAUUGUAAACCUCUGUUAAGUGGGAAGAAUAGGGUAUGUUUUAAUCGGCAUAUCUGUGACGGUACCACUUCAGAAAGCACCGGCUAACUACGUGCCAGCAGCCGCGGUAAUACGUAGGGUGCAAGCGUUGUUCGGAAUCACUGGGCGUAAAGCGAACGUAGGUGGGAAAGUAAGUUAGGAGUGAAAAUUAUCGGCUCAACCGGUAACCUGCUUUUAAAACUGCUUUUCUUGAGUAUGGAAGAGGAAGAUGGAAUUCCAGGUGUAGCGGUGGAAUGCGUAGAUAUCUGGAAGAACACCAGUUGCGAAGGCGGUCUUCUGGUCCAAUACUGACACUGAGGUUCGAAAGCUAGGAUAGUCAACAGGAUUAGAUACCCUGGUAUCCCUAGCCGUAAACGAUGGAUACUAGUUGUUGGGAGAUUUAUUUUUUCAGUGACGCAGUUAACGCGAUAAGUAUCCCGCCUGGGGAGUACGCUCGCAAGAGUAAAACUCAAAGGAAUUGACGGGGGCCCGCACAAGCGGUGGAGCAUGUGCUUUAAUUCGAUGCAACGCGAAGAACCUUACCUGGUCUUGACAUGUGAAUGCAAUUUUCUAGAGAUAGAGAAGUUUCCUUCGGGAACAUUCAACACAGGUGCUGCAUGGUUGUCGUCAGCUCGUGUCGUGAGAUGUUGGGUUAAGUCCUUCAACGAGCGCAACCCUUAUCCUUAGUUGCCAUCAGGUAGUGCUGGGAACUCUAGGGAGACUGCCUGGAUUAACCAGGAGGAAGGUGGGGAUGACGUCAAAUCAUCAUGGCCCUUACGACCAGGGCUAGACACGUGCUACAAUGGACGGUACAAAGGGUAGCGAGACUGCGAAGUUAAGCCAAUCCCACAAAACCGUUCUCAGUUCGGAUAGGAGUCUGCAAUUCGACUCCUUGAAGUUGGAAUCGCUAGUAAUCGUGGAUCAGCAUGCCACGGUGAUCCGUUCCCGGGCAUUGUACACGCCGCCCGUCAAGCCAUGAAAGACGGUAGUACCCAAAGUC
RNAcentral lists this ribosomal RNA (1391 nucleotides) under uncultured organism. RNAcentral describes it as "16S ribosomal RNA". It matches the Rfam family "Bacterial small subunit ribosomal RNA", at positions 63 to 1428 of the family's 1533-position model. The record is from RNAcentral.